GACGAACGCUGGCGGCGUGCUUAACACAUGCCAGUCGAACGGUAAGGCUCCAGCUUGCUGGGGUACACGAGUGGCGAACGGGUGAGUAACACGUGGGUGACCUGCCCUGCACUUCGGGAUAAGCCUGGGAAACUGGGUCUAAUACCGGAUAGGACCAUGGUGUGGAUACUGUGGUGGAAAGUUUUUUCGGUGUGGGAUGGGCCCGCGGCCUAUCAGCUUGUUGGUGGGGUAAUGGCCUACCAAGGCGGCGACGGGUAGCCGGCCUGAGAGGGUGGACGGCCACAUUGGGACUGAGACACGGCCCAGACUCCUACGGGAGGCAGCAGUGGGGAAUAUUGCACAAUGGGCGGAAGCCUGAUGCAGCGACGCCGCGUGGGGGAUGACGGACUUCGGGUUGUAAACUCAUUUCACCAUCGACGAAGGGUUUCUGACGGUAGAUGGAGAAGAAGCACCGGCUAACUACGUG
This 466-nucleotide ribosomal RNA is filed under the name uncultured bacterium. RNAcentral describes it as "partial 16S ribosomal RNA". It matches the Rfam family "Bacterial small subunit ribosomal RNA", at positions 28 to 507 of the family's 1533-position model. The record is from RNAcentral.